This 270-nucleotide ribosomal RNA is filed under the name uncultured archaeon. RNAcentral describes it as "partial 16S ribosomal RNA". It matches the Rfam family "Archaeal small subunit ribosomal RNA", at positions 477 to 747 of the family's 1478-position model. The record is from RNAcentral.
CAGCGCCUCAAGUGGUCAGGAUGAUUAUUGGGCCUAAAGCAUCCGUAGCCGGCGCUGUAAGUUUUCGGUUAAAUCUGUACGCUCAACGUACAGGCUGCCGGGAAUACUGCAGAGCUAGGGAGUGGGAGAGGUAGACGGUACUCGGUAGGAAGGGGUAAAAUUCUUUGAUCUAUUGAUGACCACCUGUGGCGAAGGCGGUCUACCAGAACACGUCCGACGGUGAGGGAUGAAAGCUGGGGGAGCAAACCGGAUUAGAGACCCGAGUAGUCC